ACUACAGAAGAAAUCUAACCAUUGAAAACAGAUCAUCGUAUUUCACGAUGUUAGAGAUUCUGAUGGUGCAUGGAAAUACAAAAAAAUAUAGUUUGAUACUCUGUACUGAUGCGCUGUGUCUGAUUUCGGAAAUUCAGAGAAGAAAAAAGUCUGCACUGCAUAACACGGUCAUCCUUUGAAACGGGGGUCUUUUCAAGCUAUCAUGCUGCUGGCUCAGAUAAACCAGGCAGCUGAUUUCCAGCAUGAGGAAGAUGCUCAAGAGGUCACUUUCUGCUUUACAGAAACUGUGGGGAUUUCAGAUGGCAAUCAGAGUGUGGACACUGUCAGUUUACAGGCCGUGACUUUAGCAGAUGGCUCCACUGCAUAUAUACCUCACAACCCCCAAGACAGCAGUGUAGUUGAAGGACAGGUAAUCCAGUUGGAAGAUGGGUCAUCUGCUUAUGUUCAACACAUUGCUGUUCCUAAAGCAGAUGAGCCAAAUAACUGGGCGGGCUCUGCUGUAAGUGAUGCCAUUGGUAAUGAGAGUUUAAGUCUGGAGGAUGGUCAGACUGUUCAGCUGGAGGAUGGAACUACUGCUUACAUCCACCACACUGCACAAGAGACUUAUGAACCCAGUACUCUGCAGGCGGUGCAGUUGGAAGACGGUUCAACUGCUUACAUUCAUCACGCUGUUCAGAUGUCACAGCCCAACACCAUCCUGGCCAUCCAGACAGAUGACACAGAUCUGGAGACAGAUGCAGACAUUGACCAAGAAACAAUCAAAGCUUUGGAGCAAUACACGACCAAGAUUGAGGAGAUUGACUACACAAACGCGAUCACAAAUGAUCCUCAUAGUUUUGUGGAAAUGCAGAUUGUUCUUCAUGGUCAAAAAAUGCCCCGUAAUACGCAGCAGAUGGUGGAGAAAUGUUUUCGGUGUAACUAUGAUGGAUGCGGAAAGUUUUACACCACAGCAAAUCAUCUUAAGGUACAUGAAAGAGCACAUACAGGUGACAAGCCAUACUUGUGUGACUUACCUGGGUGUGGAAAAAAGUUUGCAACAGGUUAUGGUUUGAAAAGUCACAUCAGGACACACACUGGAGAAAAACCUUACCGCUGUCUGGAGAUGAAUUGUAAAAAAUCUUUCAAGACCUCAGGGGACCUUCAGAAGCACAUGAGAAUUCACACGGGAGAGAAGCCAUUUCUGUGCCCUACCCCUGGCUGUGGGCGAUCCUUCACUACCUCAAAUAUCUGUAAGGUGCAUGUUCGCACACACACAGGCGAGAAGCCGUAUCAUUGUACAGAGCCGGGCUGUGAUCGGUCCUUUGCCAGUGCAACUAAUUACAAGAACCACAUUCGGAUCCACACAGGAGAGAGACCGUAUGUAUGCACCGUCCCUGGUUGUGACAAGCGAUUCACAGAGUACUCGAGUCUGUAUAAACAUAAUGUAGUGCACACUCCCUGUAAACCCUACAAGUGCAACCACUGUGGGAAGUCCUACAAGCAGAUCUCCACACUGGUCAUGCACAAACGUUCAGCACACAAUGAUUCUGAGCCUUUAGAAGAGGAGUCAGAGGGCUAUUUUGAACCCCCUUCAGAGGCCAUAGAUGACCCCUCCAUGGAUGUUAGCCCAGUGAAGUGUGAGGACGCGUGCCCUGAAAUGAGUUCCGGAAUCUCUGAUGUCACAAGCCAACAACAUGUAACGUUCAUUACGCAAGAUGGAACACCACAGACUGUAGGAAAUACAAUCACAAUGGUAACACAAGAUGGCAGUAUGAUCACCAUCCCACAAACUGAGUCUUUGCUAUCAGGGGAGGCUCAUUCAGUCACCAUGGUUUCCGAGGACGGCACUGAAGGACAGAUGACCAUUAUGAUGCCGGAAUUAGCGUCUUCCAGUAUGCAAGAGGUGCUGUCAUCACACCCUCUUACAGUUCUGGCUACUUCUAACGGCACACAGAUUGCUGUUUAGCUCAAUGAGCAGACUUCAUUGGAAGAGGCUCUAAGAAUAGCAUCAUCUUUACACGGAAGAGAAACAACAGUAUUGGACACUUAACCGCCUACACCAUCAGAUGGCACACAGUAUCAAUUAGACAAACUUGCUUGUGCAUGGGUAUAAUGCUGCACUGGGUUUCUGAGAACUUCUUCAUGUGGUGAAGAAAGGGAGCGCAUCUAUGUUCCCAGGGUCCUAAAUUCCCAAUUUCACAUUAAACCUACUGUGUUCAGUUUGGAAUGCCCAAUUCCCAAUGCGCUCUUAAGUCCUCGUGGUGGCGUAGUGACUCGCCUCAAUCCGGGUGGCGGAGGAUGAAUCUCAGUUGCCUCUGCGUCUGAGACUGUCAAUCCGUGCAUCUUAUCACGUGACUUGUUGAGCACAUUACCGCGAAGACACAGUGCGUGUGGAGGCUUCACGCUAUUCUCCGCGGCAUUCACGCACAACUCACCACGAGCCCCACCAAAAGCGAGACCCACAUUAUAGCAACCACAAGGAGAUUACACCAUGUGACUCUACCCUCCUUAGCAACCGGGCCAAUUUGGUUGCUUAGGAGACCUGGCUGGAGUCACUCAGCAUGCCCUGGAUUUGAACUCGCGACUCCAGGGGUGGUAGACAGCGUCAAUACUUCCUGGGCUACCCAGGCCCCCUAAUUCUUGUAUUUAAUUUUUCGUAGACUGGGGUUCAAAUGUCUUAAAUGCACAUUGAAAAUGAUCUGGGAUUCAAAGUCUAAUUUAUCCUGCCAAAUUUUAUUUUUUUAAAAACAAAGAAAUGUUAUCACAUAAAAUGAAUAAUAAAUAUGUACGAUUUUGCGCUAUUUCUAGGUCACUAAUCAUAUAUGCACAUUUCUGACACUGACCAUGUUAACACCUUUGUACAAAAGGGCAGAUAUCCUUGCUUCCACUGAAGCAAACAAUGAACAUUCUCAAAUCAUGUUGGGAUAACAUGGAUUAUUAUACUAACUUAUGACUGAGUAAUGCUCUCAUGAAAAAUUCCACUGCAUUAUUAUUAACCAAGCUGUGUCAGUGUGGUCAAACAUACAUGAAACAUUAAAUUGGAAAACAUUGAAAGGGAAGCACACAAAUCAAAGGAACGGAUUCAUUUUAUAUUGUUGAAGUUUUAUUUGAAAAUCAAAAGUGUUGCACCAAAAUCUGAGCUGAAGUGGCCGAACUUCGUAUACAGUUGUAUUAGUAUCUUAUCUUUGUUUAAAAUGUGCAUUUGUUUUUAUUCCUUGCAAACUUGGAAUCAGUUAGAUGCUUACAAAAAGUACUGUUUUGCCAUCAUUUUUUCAGCAAAAGUGUUUAUAGUCCUUGUUGCGCUGUUAUGUUAUAGCUGAAUAAUUUUAAUUGAUAAUUUUAUAUAAUUUUUUAUUUAAAAAAAUUAUAAUUGUAAUUCAUUUAUAAAAAUUUUUUAGAAGGAAAACUAUUCGUAAUGAAAAAUGUAAACAUUUUUGACACUUUCUGACACAAUAUAAAAGUUGCUAAAAAAAAAAAAAAGUGAUAU
RNA transcript from Myxocyprinus asiaticus (Chinese sucker), 3466 nucleotides. It is a transcript of the gene named zinc finger protein 143-like, with no coding region annotated. The transcript has 19 exons. NCBI's taxonomy places the organism in Eukaryota, Metazoa, Chordata, Actinopteri, Cypriniformes, Catostomidae. The record is from RefSeq and is a predicted model, not a curated record.